CGGAAUAUUUACGUUGUGUGUCCUUAAGGGGUUAAUUCUCCUAUUGCAUUGCUGUCCAUUACAACAGCUUGGUUUGGUUUAUGCGCAGUUUCCUGGUGUUUGUGAGCAUAGAAACCACAGAAAGGGCUGGUCUGCCUGCACUCAGUAUAUUACACUCAGGAAAACAAGUCAGAUCAGGUCCCUGCAGACACGGCAAGUAAUUCUGGAUAUGUAGAGUUUACUUGGUCUGAAUAUUCC
This is a non-coding RNA of Pelobates cultripes (western spadefoot toad), 237 nucleotides long. The record is from the annotation of a GenBank genome assembly. Lineage: Eukaryota; Metazoa; Chordata; Amphibia; Anura; Pelobatidae.